Molecule: non-coding RNA, 73 nt
Organism: Elgaria multicarinata webbii
Lineage: Eukaryota; Metazoa; Chordata; Lepidosauria; Squamata; Anguidae
Source: the annotation of a RefSeq genome assembly
AGUUCCAUGGUGUAGUGGUUAUCAUGUCUGCUUUACACACAGAAGAUCCUGGGUUCAAGUCCCAGUGGAACUA